Molecule: ribosomal RNA, 439 nt
Filed under: uncultured bacterium
Lineage: Bacteria
Description: partial 16S ribosomal RNA
Rfam family: Bacterial small subunit ribosomal RNA
Source: RNAcentral
CUACGGGUCGCUGCAGUGGGGAAUAUUGCACAAUGGAGGAAACUCUGAUGCAGCAACGCCGCGUGGAGGAUGACACUUUUCGGAGCGUAAACUCCUUUUAUAUAGGAAGAAGAUGACGGUACUAUAUGAAUAAGCGCCGGCUAACUCCGUGCCAGCAGCCGCGGUAAUACGGAGGGCGCAAGCGUUACUCGGAAUCACUGGGCGUAAAGAGCGUGUAGGCGGAUUAAAAAGUCAGAAGUGAAAUCCUAUAGCUUAACUAUAGGACUGCUUCUGAAACUCUUAAUCUAGAAUAUGGGAGAGGUAGAUGGAAUUUCUGGUGUAGGGGUAAAAUCCGUAGAGAUCAGAAGGAAUACCGAUUGCGAAGGCGAUCUACUAGAACAUUAUUGACGCUGAGACGCGAAAGCGUGGGGAGCAAACAGGAUUAGAUACCCGAGUAGUC